UAAAUGGUGUGACCCACCUGAGUUUCAGAUACGGCUGAUCAGGGACCUACGAAACGCACUGCGUGGAUGUCCAUCACACAUCCGGUGGGGCCCCAUCAUAUCAGUGGUGUGGAUCACCGAAACAUGGGCACUGUUUGGACGGUCCGUGAUCACAGGAAUCAGGACACCAGUCUUCAAGACUGUACAACCGGCUCCAUGCUGACUUAGUAUGCAACCCCAUCUUUUCCAUCCACGUGUCACUUCUAGAGGUCAUCUGAGCCAAGCAGACGGUGGGCCCCACACUGGAUUUCAGCUGGAUAAAAAAUCAUACCGGCCCACUUAUCAAGUUGGCCAUACCAUCAAAGUAAUCAGACCACCGACGGUCUAAACCGACACACAGGUGUGUCCCACCUAAUAUGAUGAACCGUCCCGAUUUUCCACACAGACGAAAAUCAAGCUGCAUGCCGAGGUAGCAUACAGCCGGUUGUAGGUGAUCAGCUCUCUUUUUCUAAAAUGAGAUAGUUUUGCCCCCACGCAGAGAUGGUCCGAUGAUCUGAACCGUACAAUUUCAGGAAGCUACUCUAUGCUGACCACAGUAAGAAAUUCAUCCUAAACGGAUUAUAAUGACCGUCUAUCUGUAGUAAAGUUGAUUGUGGACCGUCGAAUAGAAAAAAUAAAAUAA
Molecule: long non-coding RNA, 661 nt
Organism: Magnolia sinica
Lineage: Eukaryota; Viridiplantae; Streptophyta; Magnoliopsida; Magnoliales; Magnoliaceae
Exons: 2
Source: RefSeq, a predicted model, not a curated record